Molecule: ribosomal RNA, 429 nt
Filed under: Acidobacteriota bacterium
Lineage: Bacteria; Pseudomonadati; Acidobacteriota
Description: Acidobacteria bacterium partial 16S ribosomal RNA
Rfam family: Bacterial small subunit ribosomal RNA
Source: RNAcentral
UGGGGAAUUUUGGACAAUGGGGGAAACCCUGAUCCAGCCAUCCCGCGUGUGCGAUGAAGGCCUUCGGGUUGUAAAGCACUUUUGGCAGGAAAGAAACGUCAUGGGUUAAUACCCCGUGAAACUGACGGUACCUGCAGAAUAAGCACCGGCUAACUACGUGCCAGCAGCCGCGGUAAUACGUAGGGUGCAAGCGUUAAUCGGAAUUACUGGGCGUAAAGCGUGCGCAGGCGGUUCGGAAAGAAAGAUGUGAAAUCCCAGAGCUCAACUUUGGAACUGCAUUUUUAACUACCGGGCUAGAGUGUGUCAGAGGGAGGUUGAAUUCCGCGUGUAGCAGUGAAAUGCGUAGAUAUGCGGAGGAACACCGAUGGCGAAGGCAGCCUCCUGGGAUAACACUGACGCUCAUGCACGAAAGCGUGGGGAGCAAACAGG